CUCCACUUCUUCCUUACAUAGUGGUUCUAGGCCCAUCCAUUCAUAAUGGCUCCUGUUCUUCCCUGGGAGAGUGUGCAGCAUUCUUUGCAGACCUGCAGUACAGCCUCUGCCAUGUCCCACUUCUCUGGUUUCUGAGCUGCCUGUUCUACCCGCUGAUCAACAUGUUGACUCUUACACGAAAACAACACUCUCCUAAUUGCCAUAACUGUCAAGGUUUUAACAUCAAAUGGGAAAUUUACCUGAUUUGUUCUUUAUGAAGCCUACUGGGAAGAUAACUCAGUAGCAGGCCGUUAAAGACAGGUUCCUAGAAGGCCAGAGGGAAGAAGGCAGAAGCACGUUACUGUCGUUGCUGUUGACGCUGGACCAGGCACUGACCAAGCACUGGCCUUUGUACAGCGAACCUAAAUCAUCUUUCUCGUUUGUUGAGAUUGUUACUUAUUCAGUGAAAUUUUGGUGAGUGAGGCCAGACAAGAGAGGGCCCAAGUCUGUGCUUGUCCAAGUCCAAACAGCUGCUGGUGACGACCGGUGACGACCCUGAAGAGGCAGCAGUGUGGCUGUUUUCUUCGAGGCUGGCGACAGCAUGGCCUUUGUCCGAACAAACCUCAGCUGACUUCGAAGCGGGCUCGUGAGAGGCUCGCACCACCCCCAGGAACACCCUACAGACAAUCCUGGAUCAAAAGGAAGUUUUGCAACAGGUGGGCUCUCCCCUGCACGUUCCCAGGGACCGUCCAGCCAGACUGUGAAUCAGACACAGUUUAGGGCUGGAUGCGCAUGUGUUAAGCCAGCGGCCCUGCACGGCAGUGCAGGUAUUCGAAGCUGAGCCAGGCACAGGCUCUUCCCGUCAUGUCUGGCUGGCCUCAAGUUGUUGCCUGAAGGUGGAUUGCGGAACCUCUGAUGUACUGCCAGAGGGGUCACUGGAGGGUUGUGUUUUUGCUCAAAGGUACUGACGUCCUCUUGUCUCUGUCCAUAAGUCAUAGCUCUGAAAUGCAGGUACUGGCAGAAACGUCUCCAGCUGCCCAGGGCUUCCUGUGACAAGUCCCUCAGAUCCUCUGCCAUCUAGCUAAUAAUACGUGGGGACGCUGCACGCGCGCAUGCUUGUGUGUGUUUGUGUGCGCUGAAAUACUGAGUGUGACACUAACAGUGGAAACCAGAAACGUCAGAGAUUUUGUUAGAAAGUCACAGGGGCAGCUUGACCCCAGUGGACCCCGCUUCCACGCGAGCGCUCCGUGGGUCUGCCCCCACCCCAGAUCCUAUUGGCUAGCACAAGAAAUGGCAGGACAGAGGCAAGAACAAGCUUCAGAUUCUGCAUGCAGGUCUUCCACUUGGGCAUAAGUAAAAGUAAAAUUUUAGUCUGACCCGGGGAUUUAACUACCCCGCCUAGAGAAGGCAUCUUUUAAAAAUUGGUCAGUCAAGAGGAAAUGCAGCUUCACAAAGGACCAGUGAUUUGUAUGGGAGCUCCCUUCCCUUUCAGGGGCGCUCUGUGUGCAGAGCAUGGGCACCCCCUUUCCUGUUAGGGACGUUCUGUGUGUGGAGAGCGGGUGCCCCUUCCAUUAGGGCGCUCUGUGUACAGAUACAGUUGUGCUGUUACUUUUAAGCCUCGGUGACCAACCCCGUGACUUUCUUGGUGAUGGGAGACACACACCAGCUUGUUGAACCUAUUCUCUGAGAUAUUCACACACGCGUGCAAUGCGCCUGAUCUUAUUCAUUUCCUGUUCCCUUUCUCCAGUCCCCGCCUCCAGCUCCUCGCCAACACAUCUCCAACUUAAACUUACGUUUUUAGUGACCCGUUGAGUCCAGUUAAUGCCACCUGCAUGUGUGCAAGUGUGGGGCCGUCCACUGGGACCUGGGGGACCUGCCAGUCACCGUCCCCAGAGAAAAGCGACCCCUCCCCAGCAGCUCUUUAGCAAUUAUGCCGCAUCCACCUUUAAAUACUGGGCAUUCAUCACAGGCUCUGGCCUCUCUCUUAGCUUUUGACACAGAAGAACCUUUGGAGUCCCUGGAGGCAAAUUUUAAUUUGUAUCAAGUGUUCAAAAAGAGACUGCCCUGCAGGCAGACAGGUGUUUCCUAACACAGGUGAGGCAGGGCUGGUGGUGGGAGCAAAGCAGUUUGUGGUUCUCAGGAGAGGCUGUAUUUCUUCAUAGGUACAGGCCAAGAGGUGAAACUGUUCUCUUUCUUUAUUUUCUAGUGUUUAACUAAAAUACCAACGCUUUGUGUCUGUGGGCAAAUCAUAGGGCCACUUGUUUUCUGUGCCAUCUAACUUUGCUCAGGGUGACUACAAGUCAUGCAGACAUGGGAUAGCUCUGGCUUUUCCUUGCUUUCCUAGAGAAAUCCCCCCUAAACAGAGAUGUUUCAAAAGCACCAACACUGUAUUACUAAGAGAGAUUUAUUUUCUUUUUUCUAUUUAUGUAACUUUUUU
Molecule: long non-coding RNA, 2416 nt
Organism: Alexandromys fortis (reed vole)
Lineage: Eukaryota; Metazoa; Chordata; Mammalia; Rodentia; Cricetidae
Exons: 4
Source: RefSeq, a predicted model, not a curated record